AUACGAAGGGACCUAGCGUAGUUCGGAAUUACUGGGCUUAAAGAGUUCGUAGGUGGUUAAAAAAGUUGAUGGUGAAAUCCCAGAGCUUAACUCUGGAACUGCCAUCAAAACUUUUUAGCUCGAGUAUGAUAGAGGGAAGCAGAAUUUCUAGUGUAGAGGUGAAAUUCGUAGAUAUUAGAAAGAAUACCAAUUGCGAAGGCAGCUUUCUGGAUCAUUACUGACACUGAGGAACGAAAGCAUGGGUAGCGAAGAGGAUUAGAUACCCUAGUAGUCC
Molecule: ribosomal RNA, 274 nt
Filed under: uncultured bacterium
Lineage: Bacteria
Description: partial 16S ribosomal RNA
Rfam family: Bacterial small subunit ribosomal RNA
Source: RNAcentral